This 253-nucleotide ribosomal RNA is filed under the name uncultured archaeon. RNAcentral's name for it is "partial 16S ribosomal RNA". It matches the Rfam family "Archaeal small subunit ribosomal RNA", at positions 474 to 727 of the family's 1478-position model. The record is from RNAcentral.
UACCGGCGCCUCAAGUGGUAGUCGCUUUUAUUGGGCCUAAAACGUCCGUAGCCGGUUUGGUACAUUCGUGGGUAAAUCAAGGCGCUCAACGUAUGGGCUGCCGAAAAUACUGUAGAGAUAGGGAGUGGGAGAGGUAGACGGUACUCGGUAGGAAGGGGUAAAAUCCUUUGAUCUAUCGAUGACCACCUGUGGCGAAGGCGGUCUACCAGAACACGUUCGACGGUGAGGGAUGAAAGCUGGGGGAGCAAACCGG